Molecule: ribosomal RNA, 255 nt
Filed under: uncultured bacterium
Lineage: Bacteria
Description: partial 16S ribosomal RNA
Rfam family: Bacterial small subunit ribosomal RNA
Source: RNAcentral
GGACGGGUGAGUAACGCGUGGGUAACCUGCCUCAUACAGGGGGAUAACAGUUGGAAACGACUGCUAAUACCGCAUAAGCGCACAGGAUUGCAUGAUCCGGUGUGAAAAACUCCGGUGGUAUGAGAUGGACCCGCGUCUGAUUAGCCAGUUGGCAGGGUAACGGCCUACCAAAGCGACGAUCAGUAGCCGACCUGAGAGGGUGACCGGCCACAUUGGGACUGAGACACGGCCCAAACUCCUACGGGAGGCAGCAUG